ACAAUGUCAAAACCGAUUAAAGACAAGGUUGCACGGUCGUUGCAAAGAAGCCCAGAGGGCUUUGUGAAGCUAGUAAACCUAUGAUACCUAGAUGCUCCUUUCUACCAGCGGCCCGCUCAUUGCGACAGGUUCUCGCGGAGUUUUAAUACAUUUGGAAGAAAUACGUUAUGCAGGUCGCGACUACUUUGAGCUGCUUCCGCGAGACUUGGUUGCCAUCCAGUCACCCUAUUGAGAUGGGCUCUGUCAAGGAGUCUUCAAUGCCCACAUUUGCACAAAUAUUAGUACCUUCCAGUUAGGGUUACCGUAUGGUUUCCGGAGCGCGGUAUCUGGACUGGUACUCUGGAAUCACGCAUCCAUGGACAAGUUCUUGCUUGGAGUAGGUUUAAGGGUGGUCUGUAGAUAGAGGAAAUCUUCAAUAUUAAUAGCAUGCAACACUGGGACCGUAGAAUGAAAGCAGCCCGCAAUCGAGAUGAGACCUGUAUGACCCUCAUUUAAUAUCGACAAGCCGCCUUGCUUUUAGAUUAUUGGGUACCUUAGUAGUGUCGGGCCUACUGUGGAGUUGCGACAGUGCUUUUGGCUUCAACUGAC
RNAcentral lists this small RNA (588 nucleotides) under Histoplasma ohiense. RNAcentral describes it as "hypothetical lncRNA". The record is from RNAcentral. Lineage: Eukaryota; Fungi; Ascomycota; Eurotiomycetes; Onygenales; Ajellomycetaceae.